RNAcentral lists this ribosomal RNA (465 nucleotides) under uncultured bacterium. Its description in RNAcentral is "partial 16S ribosomal RNA". It matches the Rfam family "Bacterial small subunit ribosomal RNA", at positions 338 to 795 of the family's 1533-position model. The record is from RNAcentral.
CCUACGGGAGGCAGCAGUGGGGAAUUUUGCGCAAUGCUCGUGAGAGUGACGCAGCGACGCCGCGUGAGUGACGAAGGCCUUCGGGUCGUAAAGUUCUUUCGACAGGGAAGAAAAUGCCGAUAAGUAAGUGUGUAUGUAUUGACGGUAACUGUAUAAGCAGCCCCGGCUAACUCCGUGCCAGCAGCCGCGAUAACACGGAGGGGGCGAGCGUUGUUCGGAGUGACUGGGCGUAAAGAGCACGUAGGCGGUGUUGUAAGUCAUUAGUUAAGGACUAGAGCUCAACUUUAGUUAGGCCAGUGAUACUAUAAUACUAGAGUACCAGAGAGGAUUGCGGAAUUCGUGGUGUAGCGGUGAAAUGCGUAGAUAUCAGGAGGAAUACCGUUAGCGAAGGCGGCAAUCUGGCUGGAAACUGACGCUGAGGUGCGAAAGCGUGGGUAGCAAACAGGAUUAGAUACCCCUGUAGUC